CAAAUGAAGCGUGCUCACAAAAAUUUUAAGCCAGGCUUGCAGAGCAAACAAAAUAUAAAACCGUGUUUGCAGAAAAACCAAAGCAAAUUCAGUAGAAAAUACAUGCCUCACAGAACGUAAGUUCUGUGGGAACCAGAGUACUCUCCAAAAGAACACUUGGCCUUAUACCAGAAGAGGCUUUCCAGAAAAGACAAAAAGUCUUUUGUAGUCCCACAAGGGUUGCAAGGUCCUUAAUUUAAGGUGGCCUUAUAGCCAAAUCCAGAUCCUGAAUAAAGUCAAAAGAACUUACCAAACGAAGGACGUCUGAGAAUCUAAGCAGAGAUUCACCAGAGCAGAGAAGGAAGGCCAUAGAAGCAGAGGCCACAAAAGGGGUCAAUGUUGGUACCUCACUAGAUUCCAGGGGAUGCUGGCCUGUUUGAGGUCAGCUGACUUCUUGACACAAACUUUAUGUCAACCUAAAUAGCAGACACAGAGAGAAGAUGUCUAAAAGAAAAUUGUAUUUAUUCAGGAAUGAGUAUUGCAAUGGGAAUAUAGUGGGUGUAUUCAGGGAGGUAAAGAAAGACAAGGGCUUUUAAAGAAGUGAGGAGGGUUACAUGAGUUUUUUGAAACAAUUAUCUUUGGCUACAAGGAUCACUAACAAAGGUGGUAGUAGUUCAAGGUUGGACAGCCAGUUGCUGGGCAGCUGUCUUAACCAAAGUAUUUUUGUAUGUGUAAGGUUGUGGUGGCCUUUGUGCAAGGUUGUUGUGAUUUUUGCAGUCUUUGUGAUCGUUCCUCUUAUCAGGUAUAUGUGCAUGAGAACCUUCUUUUCAUCACCUUCCCUGGCUCCAUUUGUCCUGCUACGGUGACACCAGUCUUUUAGUCCAUACAUUUGACUUCAUGAGGAGUUUGCUAUAAUCAAUUGAAUGAAGAAGAAACAUGUGGACCUGCUUUAUAGGAAUGAUGCCAGGGGGAUGAAUAGUUUUGCUGGAUGGUCAUGGACUUCAAAGAAGCAUGAUUGAUAAUUGGUUGACAAGGCAAAUUGACAAUGAGGUAUGUGAGUGGACUACUUUUAAUGAGCAGAAUAUAAAAUUACUUGCGGCCUAUUUAAUUGUCAAUAAUCAGCAACCUCACCAGAAGAUGAGCUUAAUAAUCAGGUGAUCAAGAUGGUACAUUCUGUGAAUAUUCUUCAAGAUUUUUCUCUAGUCAACCAUGUCCAUUCCCAGUGGGUGCAUGAACAGUGUAGUCAUGGUGGAAGAAAUGGAGCUUAUUAGUUCAGUACUAUGAAAUUCCAUUUACUAAAUCCAAUCUGGCUACAACCACAUUUAUAUGGCCAAGCUAUCAAAAGUAUGGACUAACACUGGACCUCAGAUAGGCACUGUUCUUCAAAGGGGACUACCAACCUCCUGCUGGAAUUUGAUUACACCGGACCACUUUGAUCAUGGAGGAGACAGCACUUUGUUUUCAGUGGAAAAGACAAUUACUCUAGAUAUGAAUUUGCCUUUCCUAUUCCAAUGUUUCUGAUAAAAGCAUCACAUGUGGACUUUACAAAAUGUUUUAUUUUCUGCCAUGGAAUUCCACCCAGCAUUUCUUGUGACCAGGGCAGUCAUUUUUCAAAAAAUGAAUUGUAUCCAUUGGGCUCAUGUUGAUAGAAUUCACUAAACUUACCAUGAUUCCUGUUAACAGUUCCAUUUCAGUAGUGGGACAUGCCUCAAUUCUCAGAAGUCCUACCAUCUCUGAUUUGUCUUCCCAUGUUUGUUUACCUAAUUCCUACUUUAAAAUGUCCUUGUCCCUAAAAUCCUAGUGAUUCUGCUUCUCUGAUUGAACCCUGACUGAUAUUGAACCAUUUCUGCUCCUUUUCAGACACUACCCCUCUCUCUCAACUAUAAUCACUUUCCUAACUUCUAUCACCAUUGACUACUUUUCCUUUUAUCUUUAUAUAUAUGAAACCAUAUUGUAUAUAUCCUUUUGUGUCUCUGUUUUGCCCAACAUUAUGUUUGUGAGAUUGAACUAUGCUGCUGUUUUAUAGCAAUUGUUUACUUAUUUUGUUACUGUAGAGCAAGUGUAGGCACACUACAUCCCAUGGGUGAAAUCUUGUAUAUAUUUCGGGGUGCACAUGUGUGUGUGUUUCUGCUUGCUAGAAGUGGAAUUUCUGUGUCAUGGAGAAUACAUAAAUUUAACUCUAGCAGAUACUGUGAAACAUUUUCCAAAGUGAUUGUACCAAUUUACACUCUUACAAGGACCGUGGUAGAGUUCCAUCUGCUCCACGUGCUUGCCAAUGUUUGGUGUUGUCAGACUUAAAUUAUUUUUAAAUUAUUUUUUAAAUUCACCAUUCUAAUUUUUUAAAAGAAGUAGAGUAUAAUGCUGGUUACCAGGGGCUGGAGUGGAGGGGUUGGGACAUAUUGGUCAAAAGAUAUAACAUGUCAGUUAUACACGAGUAAUUUUUAAAAAAUCAGUGAUUCUGGUAUGGCAAUAGAGUUGUCUCAUUGAGGGUUUAAUUUAUACUGCUGUAAUGACUAAUGAAGUUGAGCAAACAGAGCAUGUAUCUGAAGCCUUGUACAUUUGUAUAUUCUUCAUAUAGUGCUUACUCAAGUGAUUUGUUGAUUUGUCUAUUUGGUUGUCAGUCUUAUUCUUGUAUUUAUAGGAUUUCUUUAUAUUCUGCUUACAAGCCUUUUGACAUAUGUGUGUAUUGUGAUUAUCUUUUCAACUGUGGCCAGCAUUUUCACUUUCCUUAUGGUACAUUUGAUAAACAACCAUUCUCAUUUUAAGUUUUUUAAUUUUACUUUUCAGUUGGUACUUUAAAAAAUCGUUGCCAACAUUAGAGAAGGUCACAAAGAUAUUUUAGUAGCUAUUUAAAAAAAUCUUUUAAUUUUAAGAUCUAUAUUCCAUAUCAUAUUGAUAUUUACAUAUGGGAUGUGCUAAAGGUCAAGAUUAAUUAUUUUUCUAUGUGAAGAAUAUACAAUAUCCUCACUUCUUAAGAGAUUUCUCCAUUUUAUUAUCUUUGUCAAAUAUCAAAUGACUAGAUAUAUGUAAAUCUGUUUCUGAACUUUCUAUUAUCUUCCAUUAGUCUAUUCAUAUUUGCAUAUAUAGCACACUUUUAAUUACUGCAAAUACAUAAAAUGUCUUGAUGUCUUAUCG
This 3114-nucleotide long non-coding RNA is filed under the name Homo sapiens (human). Its description in RNAcentral is "non-protein coding lnc-ZNF227-1:1". The record is from RNAcentral. Lineage: Eukaryota; Metazoa; Chordata; Mammalia; Primates; Hominidae.